AGCUCCAGGCGGAAGCCUGUUGAUAUAGAUCCGGGAGCCGGAAACGGGAAGACGGGUGCAAAUCCCGCGCAGUCCCGCUGCCGUAAGAGAACAGUCGGUGCGCAUGGGCCACUGGGGCGACCCGGGAAGGCGCGCAGCGGCGGAGACGCUCAAGCCGGAAAACCGUACCGGCUCCGAAUUCACAG
Non-coding RNA from Flavonifractor plautii ATCC 29863, 185 nucleotides. Lineage: Bacteria; Bacillati; Bacillota; Clostridia; Eubacteriales; Oscillospiraceae. The record is from Rfam.